Geobacillus sp. Y4.1MC1 is the source of this 109-nucleotide non-coding RNA. Lineage: Bacteria; Bacillati; Bacillota; Bacilli; Caryophanales; Anoxybacillaceae. The record is from Rfam.
UUCUUAUCAAGAGCAGGCGGAGGGACAAGCCCAAUGAAGCCCGGCAACCGGCUUAACCAUGGUUAAGCACGGUGCUAAUUCUUGCAGCGGAAACGCUGAGAGAUAAGAA